RNAcentral lists this ribosomal RNA (495 nucleotides) under uncultured bacterium. RNAcentral describes it as "partial 16S ribosomal RNA". It matches the Rfam family "Bacterial small subunit ribosomal RNA", at positions 28 to 507 of the family's 1533-position model. The record is from RNAcentral.
GACGAACGCUGGCGGCGUGCCUAAUACAUGCAAGUAGAACGCUGAAGGAGGAGCUUGCUUCUCCGGAUGAGUUGCGAACGGGUGAGUAACGCGUAGGUAACCUGCCUGGUAGCGGGGGAUAACUAUUGGAAACGAUAGCUAAUACCGCAUAAGAGUAGAUGUUGCAUGACAUUUGCUUAAAAGGUGCAAUUGCAUCACUACCAGAUGGACCUGCGUUGUAUUAGCUAGUUGGUGAGGUAACGGCUCACCAAGGCGACGAUACAUAGCCGACCUGAGAGGGUGAUCGGCCACACUGGGACGGAGACACGGCCCAGACUCCUACGGGAGGCAGCAGUAGGGAAUCUUCGGCAAUGGACGGAAGUCUGACCGAGCAACGCCGCGUGAGUGAAGAAGGUUUUCGGAUCGUAAAGCUCUGUUGUAAGAGAAGAACGAGUGUGAGAGUGGAAAGUUCACACUGUGACGGUAGCUUACCAGAAAGGGACGGCUAACUACGUG